AGAGUUUGAUCCUGGCUCAGAUUGAACGCUGGCGGCAGGCCUAACACAUGCAAGUCGAGCGGUAGAGAGAAGCUUGCUUCUCUUGAGAGCGGCGGACGGGUGAGUAAUGCCUAGGAAUCUGCCUGGUAGUGGGGGAUAACGUUCGGAAACGGACGCUAAUACCGCAUACGUCCUACGGGAGAAAGCAGGGGACCUUCGGGCCUUGCGCUAUCAGACGAGCCUAGGUCGGAUUAGCUAGUUGGUGAGGUAAUGGCCCACCAAGGCGACGAUCCGUAACUGGUCUGAGAGGAUGAUCAGUCACACUGGAACUGAGACACGGUCCAGACUCCUACGGGAGGCAGCAGUGGGGAAUAUUGGACAAUGGGCGAAAGCCUGAUCCAGCCAUGCCGCGUGUGUGAAGAAGGUCUUCGGAUUGUAAAGCACUUUAAGUUGGGAGGAAGGGUUGUAGAUUAAUACUCUGCAUUUUUGACGUUACCGACAGAAUAAGCACCGGCUAACUCUGUGCCAGCAGCCGCGGGUAAUACAGAGGGGUGCAAGCGUUAAUCGGAAAUUACUGGGCGUAAAGCGCGCGUAGGGUGGUUUGUUAAGUUGGAUGUGAAAUCCCCGGGCUCAACCUGGGAACUGCAUUCAAAACUGACUGACUAGAGUAUGGUAGAGGGUGGUGGAAUUUUCCUGUGUAGCGGUGAAAAUGCGUAGAUAUAGGAAAGAACACCAAGUGGGCGAAGGCCACCACCCUGGACUAAUGACUGGACACUGAGGUGCGAAAGCGUGGGGGAGCAAACAGGAUUAGAUACCCUGNUAGUCCACGCCCGUAAACGAUGUCAACUACCCGUUGGAAGCCUUGAGCUUUUAGGGGCGCAUCUAAGCAUUUGGGUUGACGGCCUGGGGAGUACGGCCGCAGGGUUAAACUUCAAAUGAAUUGGAGGGGGCCCGCACAAGCGGUGGAGCAUGUGGUUUAAUUCGAAGCAACGCGAGGAACCUUACCAGGCCUUGACAUCCAAUGAACUUUCUAGAGAUAGAUUGGUGCCUUCGGGAACAUUGGGACAGGUGCUGCAUGGCUGUCGUCAGCUCGUGUCGUGAGAUGUUGGGUUAAGUCCCGUAACGAGCGCAACCCUUGUCCUUAGUUACCAGCACGUUAUGGUGGGCACUCUAAGGAGACUGCCGGUGACAAACCGGAGGAAGGUGGGGAUGACGUCAAGUCAUCAUGGCCCUUACGGCCUGGGCUACACACGUGCUACAAUGGUCGGUACAGAGGGUUGCCAAGCCGCGAGGUGGAGCUAAUCCCAUAAAACCGAUCGUAGUCCGGAUCGCAGUCUGCAACUCGACUGCGUGAAGUCGGAAUCGCUAGUAAUCGCGAAUCAGAAUAUCGCGGUGAAUACGUUCCCGGGCCUUGUACACACCGCCCGUCACACCAUGGGAGUGGGUUGCACCAGAAGUAGCUAGUCUAACCUUCGGGAGGACGGUUACCACGGUGUGAUUCAUGACUGGGGUGAAGUCGUAACAAGGUAACC
Molecule: ribosomal RNA, 1511 nt
Filed under: Pseudomonas poae
Lineage: Bacteria; Pseudomonadati; Pseudomonadota; Gammaproteobacteria; Pseudomonadales; Pseudomonadaceae
Description: bacterial SSU rRNA
Rfam family: Bacterial small subunit ribosomal RNA
Source: RNAcentral